GAUGAACGCUGGUGGCGUGCCUAAUACAUGCAAGUAGAACGCUGAAGGAAGGAGCUUGCUCUUUCCGGAUGAGUUGCGAACGGGUGAGUAACGCGUAGGUAACCUGCCUGGUAGCGGGGGAUAACUAUUGGAAACGAUAGCUAAUACCGCAUAACAGUAGAUGUUGCAUGAUAUCUACUUAAAAGGUGCAAUUGCACCACUACCAGAUGGACCUGCGUUGUAUUAGCUAGUUGGUGAGGUAACGGCUCACCAAGGCGACGAUACAUAGCCGACCUGAGAGGGUGAUCGGCCACACUGGGACUGAGACACGGCCCAGACUCCUACGGGAGGCAGCAGUAGGGAAUCUUCGGCAAUGGACGGAAGUCUGACCGAGCAACGCCGCGUGAGUGAAGAAGGUUUUCGGAUCGUAAAGCUCUGUUGUAAGAGAAGAACGAGUGUGAGAGUGGAAAGUUCACACUGUGACGGUAUCUUACCAGAAAGGGACGGCUAACUACGUG
This 497-nucleotide ribosomal RNA is filed under the name uncultured bacterium. RNAcentral describes it as "partial 16S ribosomal RNA". It matches the Rfam family "Bacterial small subunit ribosomal RNA", at positions 28 to 507 of the family's 1533-position model. The record is from RNAcentral.